This 453-nucleotide ribosomal RNA is filed under the name Triticum aestivum (bread wheat). RNAcentral's name for it is "partial small subunit ribosomal RNA". Lineage: Eukaryota; Viridiplantae; Streptophyta; Magnoliopsida; Poales; Poaceae. The record is from RNAcentral.
AUGCCGAAGCUGCAGAAGUACAGAGGAGUGAGGCAGAGGCACUGGGGCUCCUGGGUCUCCGAGAUCCGCCAUCCUCUCCUGAAGAAGACUAGGGUCUGGCUUGGCUCGUAUGAGACGGCGGAGGACGCGGCACGGGCGUACGACGAGGCGGCGCAGCUCAUGAGCGGGCCCACGGCGCGCACCAACUUCCCCUCCGGCGCCCCCGUCGGCGGCAGCCUGUCCCCUGCCCUGCGUGCCAAGGUGGAGAAAUGCUGCAUGCCGACGGCGAAGGGCGCCGAGAUGACCGGGGCGGCCAUGGCUAGAGGCUACGACGCCCGCCAAAACAAGCUCGAGGACAUCAUCAAAGUCGUGGAUGAGGAGGAGUGCAUCGAGGAGAUGAUCAGGGAGCUCACCCACUACGGCUCUAUGGAGAUCGUCCUCUCCCCCGCCUGCUCCAGCAGUCCAGCUCCGUAA